UGGGGAAUUUUGGACAAUGGGGGCAACCCUGAUCCAGCCAUGCCGCGUGAGUGAAGAAGGCCUUCGGGUUGUAAAGCUCUUUCGGCCGGGAAGAAAUCGCCAUCUCUAAUAUAGGUGGUGGAUGACGGUACCGGAAUAAGAAGCACCGGCUAACUACGUGCCAGCAGCCGCGGUAAUACGUAGGGUGCGAGCGUUAAUCGGAAUUACUGGGCGUAAAGCGUGCGCAGGCGGUUUUUUAAGAUAGGCGUGAAAUCCCCGGGCUUAACCUGGGAACUGCGCUUAUGACUGGAAGACUAGAGUACGGCAGAGGGGGGUGGAAUUCCACGUGUAGCAGUGAAAUGCGUAGAGAUGUGGAGGAACACCGAUGGCGAAGGCAGCCCCCUGGGCCGAUACUGACGCUCAUGCACGAAAGCGUGGGGAGCAAACAGGAUUAGAUACCCUGGUAGUCCACGCCCUAAACGAUGUCAACUAGUUGUUGGGUGGGUAAAACCAUUUAGUAACGUAGCUAACGCGUGAAGUUGACCGCCUGGGGAGUACGGCCGCAAGGUUA
This 550-nucleotide ribosomal RNA is filed under the name uncultured bacterium. RNAcentral describes it as "bacterial SSU rRNA". It matches the Rfam family "Bacterial small subunit ribosomal RNA", at positions 355 to 896 of the family's 1533-position model. The record is from RNAcentral.